GGAACGGAGCAAUCCGGUCCGC
Molecule: small nuclear RNA, 22 nt
Filed under: Arabidopsis thaliana (thale cress)
Lineage: Eukaryota; Viridiplantae; Streptophyta; Magnoliopsida; Brassicales; Brassicaceae
Description: snRNA_14871
Source: RNAcentral